Molecule: ribosomal RNA, 771 nt
Filed under: uncultured archaeon
Lineage: Archaea
Description: bacterial SSU rRNA
Rfam family: Archaeal small subunit ribosomal RNA
Source: RNAcentral
CGGUUGAUCCUGCCGGAGGUCACUGCUAUCGGUGUUCGACUAAGCCAUGCAAGUCAAAUGUUCUUCGUGAACAUGGCGAACUGCUCAGUAACACGUGGAUAACCUGCCCCUGGGAUUGGCAUAACACCGGGAAACUGGUGAUAAUACCGAAUAGACCAUCAUUGCUGGAAUGCUUUUUGGUCCAAAGGCUUCGGCCGCCCAUGGAUGGAUCUGCGGCCUAUCAGGUAGUAGUGGGUGUAAUGUACCUACUAGCCUACGACGGGUACGGGUUGUGAGAGCAAGAGCCCGGAGAUGGAUUCUGAGACAUGAAUCCAGACCCUACGGGGUGCAGCAGGCGCGAAAACUUUACAAUGCGGGAAACCGCGAUAAGGGGACACUGAGUGCCAGCAUAUUAUGUUGGCUGUCCACAUGUUUAAAAGUCAUGUGUCAGCAAGGGCCGGGCAAGACCGGUGCCGGCCGCCGCGGUAACACCGGCGGCCCGAGUGGUGAUCACUUUUAUUGGGUCUAAAGGGUCCGUAGCCGGUUUGAUCAGUCUUCCGGGAAAUCUGACAGCUCAACUGUUAGGCUUCCGGUGGAUACUGUCAGACUUGGGACCGGGAGAGGUAAGAGGUACUACAGGGGUAGGAGUGAAAUCUUGUAAUCCCUGUGGGACCACCAGUGGCGAAAGGNGUCUUACCAGAACGGGUCCGACGGUGAGGGACGAAAGCUGGGGGCACGAACCGGAUUAGAUACCCGGGUAGUCCCAGCCGUAAACGAUGCUCGCUAGGUGUC